This 446-nucleotide ribosomal RNA is filed under the name uncultured bacterium. Its description in RNAcentral is "SSU rRNA". It matches the Rfam family "Bacterial small subunit ribosomal RNA", at positions 26 to 518 of the family's 1533-position model. The record is from RNAcentral.
AGAGCGAACGCUGGCGGCAGGCCUAACACAUGCAAGUCGAGCGCCGUAGCAAUACGGAGCGGCAGACGGGAGAGUAACACGUGGGAACGUACCUUUUGGUUCGGAACAACUGAGGGAAACUUCAGCUAAUACCGGAUAAGCCCUUACGGGGAAAGAUUUAUCGCCAAAAGAUCGGCCCGCGUCUGAUUAGCUAGUUGGUGAGGUAACGGCUCACCAAGGCGACGAUCAGUAGCUGGUCUGAGAGGAUGAUCAGCCUCACUGGGACUGAGACACGGCCCAGACUCCUACGGGAGGCAGCAGUGGGGAAUAUUGGACAAUGGGCGCAAGCCUGAUCCAGCCAUGCCGCGUGGGUGAUGAAGGCCCUAGGGUUGUAAAGCCCUUUCGGCGGGGAAGAUAAUGACGGUACCCGCAGAAGAAGCCCCGGCUAACUUCGUGCCAGCAGCCGC